CGGGGCGCCAGAGGCUUCAGUCCUGGUCACGGUGCUGUGGCUUUGGGCCUCGCAGCCAGAGCACCGCAGCGCGCCCCUCCCGCACCAGGAAAGGGGGCGGGCGCCCCGCAGGGCACCCAGCGUCCCCCCGCUGCGCCCCACUCUCCCGCCACGCCGCUCACCACCCGGGCUGGGGACCAAGCCUUGGCACGUGGCCUCUAGGCAGCGCAGGCUCUGCUGCCCGGAGCGGGAGUGCUCAGCGUCCGGGUGGGGCAUCUCCCACCCUUCUAGGCGGACUGGCCCAGCCUUUCACAGGUUUGCCUCUCGUUAGGGGGCUGGAGGCCUUACAGUCAGACUGAGACCAAAGGAAGGGCCUUCCUGGAGAGCGGUGCUCCGUGUUUCCAUCUCCACCUCGCCUCCUCCUCCUCCUCCGGCAGCUGAGCGCUUGUCAGCCAGGCCUGUCUGGAGCUGUGGCUGCGCAUAGUAUUUUUCUAUCAAUCCGUUCUGUGAAUACACUCAAAACCGUAUCCAAAAUUAGCUUCUGUUCACAUUAUCUACUCAUUAAGAUUUAUCUACUGCAGUACUUCACAGUUUUCCAUCAAAAUAUCCCUAAUGGCAGGGAAAGUAGACAGAAUGAAUGGAUGAGCCAAGCUGGGCCCGGGAGAUAGGACUUUCCUCAGUGUCAUGUUUUAACCUAAAAUGUCAUGCAGACUUUGCAUUUCUUGCUUUCUGUCUAUUUUCUUCUUUUCAAGUUGAUGCUGCGUGGAAAAGACUGACUUAUACCGUGGUUCUCCUGGCCCCUAGCAGGCUGACACACGCUCCAAAAGGCACAGAAAUGCGAAACUCAGAUGGCUUCCCUGCUGUUGGGUGGGGUUUCAGCUCUUUUUAGUGUGUUAGACCUACAGUUCUCUCUGAGAAAGGCUACGGAUGGCUGAUGUACAAUAAUUUAUAGCCACUGGUGUUACCAGAAUAUUUAUGUAUAAUCAUAAUUUUCAGGCUGUGAGGUUCUUGGGAAAGAACCUAGUCAUUUAAAAUGAAGUUCAGGGCCGGAGAUUUAGCUCAGUGGUUUCACUGCCUGCUCUGCAGGCGCAAGGACCCUAGUUUGAUCCCCAGUACCAAAAAACAAACAAAAAAAAGAAGUUCAAUUUUUUUUUUUUUUUUUCUGGUACCAGGGAUCAAACAUAGGACCUUGCACUUGUGAGGCAGGCACAGUGCCACUGAGCUAAAUCCCUGGCCCUUUUUUUUUUUUAAACAGGGUGUUGCUAAGUCACUAAAUUGCUCAGCCUAGGCUUCAGUUUACAAUCCUUUUGCCUCAGGCUCCCAGAGAGUGCUGGGAUUAUAGAUGAGAGCCGCCCUGUCUGUGGAGAGAGUGCAAUCUUAUAGGAGUAAGAUGAUUGUCAGACCCACACUUUCAGGAACAGGCUGAACUAGAACCUGAUUGCACCUGGGCUUUUGUUUUGUUUUGAAUUGUUUGUGUUUCUGGGUGUGUUUGUGUGCUGGGUCUCGGGUAUUUUUCCUCAGCAAUGAGAGAGAAAAAGUAACAGACAAAUAGCAUUCUAGUAAAGCAUUGCAUUCAUCUGCUUGGAAAGCUGUAGUAAAAUGCCACAGGUAGCUUAGACAACAGAAGGUCACUUUCUUGCAGAUCUGCAACCAGAAGUCCAAGAGCAAGGGGCUCCCAGUGCUGCUUCAGCAAGGGCUGUCUUCUGGCUCACAGACUCCACCUUCUUGCAGUGGCCUCAGUGGCGCCUUCUCUGUGUGCACACAGGAAGAGGGUUCUAGGUCUCUUCCUCUUGCUAUAAGGAUACAGUCCAGAUUAAAGACCCUUAUGACCUUCUCCUGCUGAAACAAAAUACCCAACACCCGAAGUUAAAGGAGGAAAGGUUUCUUUGGCUCACAGUUUAUAGAGGUUUCAGUUCAUAAUUGGGUGGCUCCAAGACAGGGUGGCAUAGCAGAAGAGAAACAGUUCAUGGCAGGCAGAAGUCAGCAAAGUAGCUAAGAAGCAGCAAGUAAGACAGCAGGCUUUUUUUCUGUCCCUUAUAUCCUACCCAGGCUACCCACCCUUAGGGUGGGUAGUACUCACACCCAGAGUGGGCCUUCCCAUUAUCCACACAAAGAACUAUGCCAAACCAAUCAGUGGACUAAUUUAGUAAUCACCCUUGAUCCCAGGAUCACACACUUCAUCCCAGCCUCAUAUACUCUAGAUCCAGCCACCUCUGAAAAUCCCCACUUAUGACUGAUGAGGCUUUGGAGGGGGAACAUUUAAAUACAAGCCAUAACACCUUAUAUAAGUUUAAUUACCUCAUAUUAGCUUCUUGACACUAGGACAAAAUAUCUGUUGCUCAUAACACAAAGGAAGAGAAGUUUUGGCUCCCAGCUUCAGUGGGUUCAGUCCAUGGUUUACUGGCUCCAAGGCAGAAACAAUGGUGGAAGGGCCUGGCAGAGGAAAGCUGCUCAUCUAAGGGCAGCCAGGAAACAGAGAGAAGGGAGGCACUAGGGAGGAGAAUCCACCCUUCCAAGUCAUGACCCCAGUGACCUGUGUCGUCCAACCAGGGCCCACCUCCUGACAGACUGUUCAGCUAUGAACUUAUCAGUAGAUCAGUCAACUAAUAAGCCUAGCAUGUCAUAAUCCACUCAUCUUUUAAAAGCCCUACCUUGGAAUAAUGAGACUUUGGGGGGAUAGUUUAGACCUAAACUAUAGUACUUCACUGAGGUCCUAUCUAUAAACACUAUCACAUCCAGGGCUAGGCCUUCCACAUAUGAAUUUUGGAGAACAUAAUUCAUUCCACAAUAGCAUCUAUGCACCUAUCUGUUCAUCUAGAUUUCUGGCUCUUGAUAGAGUUUAUCAAUUAAUUUACCAAAAAAGAGAAGAAAAGGGAAGACAAGAAGAAAAGGAAAUUUUAAAGCUCAAUUAUACAUUUCUACUUGUGUAAGACUUAAAUUUUUAAAAAAUCAGAUAAUUACCUAUGACCUUGGAAAGCAGCUGGGGGCGCAGGAUUGGAAUGCAGAGCAGGUGAUAGUUGGAAGGAAGGGUGAAGUGUGGAUGUUUCUUUGAAGCCCAGAAGCUGAGUGUGGGUUGAGCGUCGGUGGAGUUGGAGAGGAAGAGUGCCCUUAGUGCAGGGUUCUGAGAAAAAGGGUUGCUCGGGGACAGAUGUCUAAAACUGGGAGAUCCACUUCCCAAGACCUAUUUUUCCUGUGUUACUCUGUGUGUGUUUCCUCAUCUGUAGAAUGAUGACAGUAGUGCUACAAAUAAACCAAAUGUAAGGAAAACCCUUUCCUAACACCUCCAUGAUCUUGUGAAUCCGCCCCCUUUCCACAUGGAGCUAUUGCUCCACACCCCAAAUGCCAAGCACCUGGUCCCAGAUGUAAAUGAGCCCAAGGGCUAUGCAAUGAGCAGCACACAUCUGUACUGAAGACCCCUUCCAGGAAGCCCUCAUAUUUCAAAUCACGCCUGCCUCAGCCCACAGGAGUCAGAACCAAGAUGCUGCUUGGUCCUACUGCCCCUGCUGCCUUUUGGCAAAACAAACCCUUGUUGAAACUUUCACUGGUGCCUGUGAGGACCUGAUCCUUCUGUGGUUCAGAACAAUCUCCCUCUUAGCCUUGGGGAUGUCCUCCCCAUUUGAAACUCGGCAAGAAUAAAGGAGAUGAAUAACCUGAAAGGAAGGUGCUAUGCCCCUUGCAGGCACACUUGCUGGUCUCCGGGGAAGGUACCAGUAUCAUCCAAGUUGUCCUGAGAGACCAGUCUUAGCUUUUACUCAGAAUUGCUUAAAAUUUACAAGUUCUGGAAGGUUUCCUCAUGGGCGUUGUACACUUCUGUUACACAACACACACGACAAUAGGAAAUGCCUACACUCACCUCUGGCUGGUGUGUGGGUUUUCUGUAACACCUCUGCAAAGGGUUUGCCAGUCUCAGAAUCAGCAUUGAGACCUGUGAGUCUCUACUCUUAUCAGGGAGAAGAAGACUUCAGAUGUCCUGGCUUUUGGAAGAGAAAGUUAUCUUCAAGUUGAUCCUCAGAAAAACUUGCCUUUCUCACAGGUGCUUUUCCUUCUGCCUAUUCCUUGUGUCCCCUCAUUACAGAACAUCUUGGGGUCCAGACACGCCCACAAUCCUGGUCUCUUCCUCAUAAAACAGUCAUUGGUGUGUAUGUGGGAGCUGGGGACUCUUUCAUGCCUUUCACAUACAGAUUAUAUGCAUUUCACUAGCAUUGGGAAACUGAAUUCAUACAUGCUUUUAAAGCUUUAUUUUGUUGGGAGUCAUGGUUUAGUUAUUUCAUGCAUCAUUUAGUUAAUUAGGUAUUUUGCUCGGUUAGAUAUGCUUAAUUAUCCAUGUAUACAAAUGAAAUAAUCACUGUAUCAGUCACCCAGAAAUCCAGUGUUUUCUGUCCUACACUCAAUUGUGUGUUCAAUGUUAAAUUUUUGAUUGUUGGCAGAUUGGCAGCCCCAAAUCCUGGGAACACUAAAAGUUCCCCAAAGCACAGUUUUGGGAGAAUAAUCUUGAAGGGACUGCUGUCACCUGGUGCUGAUCAUGGAUUAUCUCAGACCUUGAUUCUAGAGCUCACACCAUCUCUGAACCCAACCAUCACCUUUAUUCUAGACAGUAUCUGUUUUGACAGGAGAGCACCUGAUGAAUUUCUCUACCAUUUUUUCUCUCCAAGGCAAGAUAUUGCUUUAAUAAACUCAAUGGGCUUCCACAAAACACUGUUCUUAGGAAUCCAAUGUAGAGGGUUUGAUUUAAUGGAUGUGUCUUAGUUAUUUUUUUCAUUGCUGAGACAAAAUACCCAACACCCAAAGCUAAAGGAGAAAAGUUUUAUUUUGGCUCACAGUUUGUAGAGGCUUCAGUGCAUAGCUGGCUGGCUCUAAGACAGGGUGGCCUGGCAGAGGAGAAAUGGUUCAUGGAGGGCAGAAGGCAGCAAGCAACAAGUAGCAAAGAGGGACCAAGCGACAGCCUUUUUCUGAUCCUUGUAUCCUAACCAGGCUAUCUGCCCUCAUAGUGGGCAGCACUCACAUCCUUAGUCCUCGCAUUGCACCAUGAAUGAAUCCUAGCGUCACAUACUAGAGAUCCAGCCUCCUCUGAAAAGCCCCACUUAUGACUGCAUGAGACCUUGUGGGGACAUCUGGACACAGCCAUAACAGGAUGUGAUUCAGCUUUCAAAACAGCCACUGACAAUUGCUGGUCAUGCAGACCCAGCUAUUUAUUCUCUUUGCCACCACAAGGCCCCUCACAAUCUCCCGGCCCUGGACUGGAUUUAUUCCAGCUGUUUUUCAGGCCUUUUAUUUAGGACUUUUUAAAAGAUCACAAAUGUCCCUGAAAAUUCUUUGAAUAAAUUUCCCUGCAUUAUAUGAAAAGUGGCCCGUGAUAAUGACCCACCUAAAGACGUAAUAACAUCACCAAAUAGGAUCCCUGUGUUGAAGGCUCUGUGUAUUGUUAAUUUUAUUUAAUCAAAGAUUCCAAGAUGGUUUUACAAAGACUACUUGCCCCACAUGUUGUGUCAAAGGACACUCUUAGCAGCAGUUCCUGCUUCUACACAGUCUUCAGCAUUUGUCCAUCUCUGGUCCUUGCCCAUUCAGUGGGUGAGAAAAUGGCAUCCCUUCAAUUUCCUGCUAGUGAGGUUGAGCAAGUUUUCUAUAUAUUUGUUAGCUUUUGCAUCUUCUCUUCUGUUGAUCACCAGCUUAUGCACUUUGCCCAUUUAAGAAAACUGAGUUCUUUGUCUUUUCUAAAAAUCAAUUUGUAAGGGUUUUCUUCUGCACAAUUGGGAUAUAUCUGUAUUUUGUGAGAUAUAUUAUUAGUAUUUUAUCCCAAACUAUUAUUUUUCUUUUUGAUUCAUGAUGUCUUUUGCCUUAUAGAAAAUGUAUCAUUUAGGUAGUCAAAUCAGUC
Molecule: long non-coding RNA, 5851 nt
Filed under: Heterocephalus glaber (naked mole-rat)
Lineage: Eukaryota; Metazoa; Chordata; Mammalia; Rodentia; Bathyergidae
Description: lncRNA (ENSHGLG00000045697.1)
Source: RNAcentral